RNAcentral lists this ribosomal RNA (549 nucleotides) under uncultured Geobacteraceae bacterium. RNAcentral describes it as "bacterial SSU rRNA". It matches the Rfam family "Bacterial small subunit ribosomal RNA", at positions 9 to 538 of the family's 1533-position model. Lineage: Bacteria; Pseudomonadati; Thermodesulfobacteriota; Desulfuromonadia; Geobacterales; Geobacteraceae. The record is from RNAcentral.
GAGUUUGAUCCUGGCUCAGAACGAACGCUGGCGGCGUGCUUAACACAUGCAAGUCGAACGUGAUUGAGAGCUUGCUCUCAUGAAAGUGGCGCACGGGUGAGUAACACGUGGAUAAUCUGCCUGGCGAUUCGGGAUAACACUUCGAAAGGGGUGCUAAUACCGGAUAAGCCCACGGUCUCUUCGGAGAGCGCGGGAAAAGGGGGCCUCUGUAUAUGCUCCUGUCGCUAGAUGAGUCCGCGGCCCAUUAGCUAGUUGGUAGGGUAAUGGCCUACCAAGGCAUCGAUGGGUAGCUGGUCUGAGAGGAUGAUCAGCCACACUGGAACUGAGACACGGUCCAGACUCCUACGGGAGGCAGCAGUGGGGAAUUUUGCGCAAUGGGSGAAAGCCUGACGCAGCAACGCCGCGUGAGUGAUGAAGGCCCUCGGGUCGUAAAGCUCUGUCAGAGGGGAAGAACCUCCCAUCGGUUAAUAUCCGGUGGGCCUGACGGUACCCUCAAAGGAAGCACCGGCUAACUCCGUGCCAGCAGCCGCGGUAAUACAAGGGCRAAKK